This 253-nucleotide ribosomal RNA is filed under the name uncultured bacterium. Its description in RNAcentral is "partial 16S ribosomal RNA". It matches the Rfam family "Bacterial small subunit ribosomal RNA", at positions 524 to 776 of the family's 1533-position model. The record is from RNAcentral.
GACGUAGGGCGCGAGCGUUGUCCGGAUUUAUUGGGCGUAAAGAGCUCGUAGGCGGCUUGUCGCGUCGUCCGUGAAAACCUGGGGCUCAACCCCAGGCUUGCGGUCGAUACGGGCAGGCUCGAGUUCGGUAGGGGAGACUGGAAUUCCUGGUGUAGCGGUGAAAUGCGCAGAUAUCAGGAGGAACACCGGUGGCGAAGGCGGGUCUCUGGGCCGAUACUGACGCUGAGGAGCGAAAGCGUGGGGAGCGAAUGGG